Long non-coding RNA from Megalops cyprinoides (Indo-Pacific tarpon), 493 nucleotides. RefSeq lists it as uncharacterized. NCBI's taxonomy places the organism in Eukaryota, Metazoa, Chordata, Actinopteri, Elopiformes, Megalopidae. The record is from RefSeq and is a predicted model, not a curated record. The transcript is spliced from 4 exons.
UCCAACUUAAAGGUCUGUAUUAAGUUCCUCUGUCUCGGUCUCCCUUUGUGUUUGGUGACUCCUUGUGUAACAGGCGGUGCUACACAACGACCGAUCCACUCUCCUCCGGACCUGGGUUCAUUGGCGCUGUAGAGCACAUUGGGAGAGGGAGGAGAAGGAGAAACAUGAAGCUGCUGAGGUUCUGUACCUGCACACACUGCUCCAGAGGACUCUGCUGGAUUGGAGGGGCAACGUUGCCCUCAUCCAAUCAGGGAGAGAGAGGGAGAAGCAGGCAAUGAGGCAUGGCCAUCUUCUGUGUGUUAGACGGGCCUUUUCUGGCUGGAGAGAGUUUAUCCAACACCAGAGAGAGAAGACAAGAAAUCGGUGCAGGGUCGACUGCUACUACCAGCACAAACUGCUGAUACGCACACUGGAUGGCUGGAAGAGGUACCACCACAGAGUCCAGCUGACCAACCACGUUGCAGAAGGGCGUGAAAGAGAGCACCAUCGCCGC